UUUUAAUAUUCCACAAUCAACCUUUUUUCCCCCAAAUCCACCUGUUGCCCCCACCACUUACCCCAAAUCCUUUAACCCCAAAUCCAUACAGAAACCCCAAAUCCCAAAUCUCCGACUUAUAGUAGCAGCUCUGCCGGCUCCGGUGACGUGAUGGUAGCAGCAACAACAAUGUGGCGGCCACAAAAUCAGCUCUGCGAGCUACGGUGGUUGAGGAUGUGAUGUUCCUAAUCGGAUGAUCUGAGCAGCUAUGGAGGAGAGUCGGGUUUUUUGGCAACGGCAACACGAGUAGUGAGGGCGGUGGUUUUCUUGCAGUUCAACACAUCAGUGGUGACUUUUAUGAGGGUAACACCACACCUCCGAUGACGGCGGCUAGGGUUCCGCCGUGAUCUCAGAUGGUGUCGGCGAUAACAAAGGGUGUCUUUGUUACUUACACCAUAGUAGAUGGCCGAUCGGACUAUCGUGAACCUCGUCGGAACUGUCGCCUGGUGCAUCCUUUCUCCUAUUCCUAUUGACUCUCACGUGGUAUAAAGGAAUGUUUCAAAUUAAUAUAGGUAUACAAUUUGUUAAAUUUAUUUUUGUUUUAUUGUUAUUUAAAAUAUU
RNAcentral lists this long non-coding RNA (600 nucleotides) under Helianthus annuus (common sunflower). Its description in RNAcentral is "hypothetical non coding rna". The record is from RNAcentral. Lineage: Eukaryota; Viridiplantae; Streptophyta; Magnoliopsida; Asterales; Asteraceae.